RNAcentral lists this transfer RNA (85 nucleotides) under Gammaproteobacteria bacterium. RNAcentral describes it as "tRNA-Leu". It matches the Rfam family "tRNA". From Rfam's summary of the family: Transfer RNA (tRNA) molecules are approximately 80 nucleotides in length. Their secondary structure includes four short double-helical elements and three loops (D, anti-codon, and T loops). RNAcentral also lists the same sequence under 1 other name. Lineage: Bacteria; Pseudomonadati; Pseudomonadota; Gammaproteobacteria. The record is from RNAcentral.
GCGCUAGUGGCGGAACUGGUAGACGCGCUGGAUUUAGGUUCCAGUGCCGAGAGGCGUGGGGGUUCAAGUCCCUCCUGGCGCACCA